GAACGAACGCUGGCGGCAGGCUUAACACAUGCAAGUCGAGCGCCCCGCAAGGGGAGCGGCAGACGGGUGAGUAACGCGUGGGAAUCUACCCUUGACUACGGAAUAACGCAGGGAAACUUGUGCUAAUACCGUAUGUGUCCUUCGGGAGAAAGAUUUAUCGGUCAAGGAUGAGCCCGCGUUGGAUUAGCUAGUUGGUGGGGUAAAGGCCUACCAAGGCGACGAUCCAUAGCUGGUCUGAGAGGAUGAUCAGCCACAUUGGGACUGAGACACGGCCCAAACUCCUACGGGAGGCAGCAGUGGGGAAUAUUGGACAAUGGGCGCAAGCCUGAUCCAGCCAUGCCGCGUGAGUGAUGAAGGCCCUAGGGUUGUAAAGCUCUUUCACCGGAGAAGAUAAUGACGGU
This 401-nucleotide ribosomal RNA is filed under the name Rhizobium sp. RNAcentral describes it as "bacterial SSU rRNA". It matches the Rfam family "Bacterial small subunit ribosomal RNA", at positions 27 to 458 of the family's 1533-position model. The record is from RNAcentral. Lineage: Bacteria; Pseudomonadati; Pseudomonadota; Alphaproteobacteria; Hyphomicrobiales; Rhizobiaceae.